UACGUAGGGUGCGAGCGUUGUCCGGAUUUAUUGGGCGUAAAGAGCUCGUAGGCGGUUUGUCGCGUCUGCUGUGAAAACUGGAGGCUCAACCUCCAGCCUGCAGUGGGUACGGGCAGACUAGAGUGCGGUAGGGGAGAUUGGAAUUCCUGGUGUAGCGGUGGAAUGCGCAGAUAUCAGGAGGAACACCGAUGGCGAAGGCAGAUCUCUGGGCCGUAACUGACGCUGAGGAGCGAAAGCAUGGGGAGCGAACAGG
Molecule: ribosomal RNA, 253 nt
Filed under: uncultured bacterium
Lineage: Bacteria
Description: partial 16S ribosomal RNA
Rfam family: Bacterial small subunit ribosomal RNA
Source: RNAcentral